UACGUAGGGGGCAAGCGUUGUCCGGAUUUAUUGGGCGUAAAGAGCGUGUAGGCGGCUUGGUAGGUCCGCUGUGAAAACUCGAGGCUCAACCUCGAGAUGUCGGUGGAUACUGCCGGGCUAGAGUCCGGAAGAGGCGAGUGGAGCUCCUGGUGUAGCGGUGGAAUGCGCAGAUAUCAGGAAGAACACCAACGGCGAAGGCAGCUCGCUGGGACGGUACUGACGCUGAGACGCGAAAGCGUGGGGAGCGAACAGG
RNAcentral lists this ribosomal RNA (253 nucleotides) under uncultured bacterium. RNAcentral describes it as "partial 16S ribosomal RNA". It matches the Rfam family "Bacterial small subunit ribosomal RNA", at positions 524 to 776 of the family's 1533-position model. The record is from RNAcentral.